Molecule: small RNA, 125 nt
Filed under: Marmota monax (woodchuck)
Lineage: Eukaryota; Metazoa; Chordata; Mammalia; Rodentia; Sciuridae
Source: RNAcentral
GCCGGGCACAGUGGCCCAUGCCUGUGAUCCCAGCAGCUCGGGAGGCUGAGGCAGGAGGAUCACAAGUUCAAAGCCAGCCUCAGCAAAAGUGAGGCCCUAAGCAACUCAGAGAGACCCUGUCUCUA